CUACUCCCUGAACAUUUACAUAUAGCUGUAUAUAUGUAUCUCUAUCUCUCUAGUAGCCUUCUUGUCCUUUGCUUCAACUGUGUGUAUAUGCCUAGUAGCUAGCUAGCUUGUGUAUGCAUCAAUAGUCAUCACUAGUUCACUAUAUUUAUCUACAUGGAGCAUAUGGAAGGAAAGAGAGAAACAUGUGUUGUACCUAUAUCUCCCUUUCUGUUCUCUUGGUUAUUACUAUCUUGCACUGUGAUGUUUGCAUGUGUGUUUAUUUACACUGGAUGAGAUGAUGAGGUUGAGAGGUUUGUUCAGAAGCUGUGUAGUGUGUGCCUGGCUCCCUGUAUGCCACACAUGUAGACCAACCCAUGGUGUCUGGUUGCCUACUGGGUGGCGUGCAAGGAGCCAAGCAUGCAUGCCUGCCUGCAUAUGGUUGCUUGACAUAUCCAUUAAUUCCAGCUUCUUUUUUAAGUGUCAUUUGAUGUAGUAUACAUAUAUUUGUGUAUGUAUGUGUUCAUGUGUAAGUUUUUCGUGCCUUUACAUCUUUGAUCUUAAUUUGGUGUGGUUCUAAUUAAUUGCAUGUGCAAGAAGGAUGUGUUUCAUCUUCAUUCCUCACUGACCAAGUUUGAUUAUUUUGGAAUACUU
RNAcentral lists this precursor RNA (630 nucleotides) under Oryza sativa Indica Group (long-grained rice). RNAcentral describes it as "putative precursor microRNA R160a". The stretch from base 313 to 400 matches the Rfam family "mir-160 microRNA precursor family". Lineage: Eukaryota; Viridiplantae; Streptophyta; Magnoliopsida; Poales; Poaceae. The record is from RNAcentral. RNAcentral also lists the same sequence under 1 other name.